CGCCGCCGCUCCGCCGCCGCAGGGCGGUGAGCCUGGGGCAGGGCUCCCUCCGCCGGUUACCAGGCAUGGCGCGGGCUGCGGCGCCCCCGCAUCCACCCCGUCGCCGCUGGGGCCGCCAUUUUGCCGGGGAGCCCGUCGGGACAACGCCGAUUGGCCGCCGCCGCACGGCACCGGGCCGCCAUUGGCCCCGCAGCGUGAGGGCGGGCCGACGGACGCGGCAGGGAACUGCGGCGGGUUAGCAGCGUGCUCGCGCCCGCCGCCCCCCCCCCGGCUCGGCUCGGCUCGGCCUGGCCCGCCUCCUGUCUGGGCGGGAAGCCGUGCUCUCGGGCGCAGCCCGACCCCAAACCCGUGGGGCGGCACUGACCCUCGGUCCGGCGGUGGCUCGUGCCCCGCGCUGGUUGCUCCCAUCUUGUCUCGUGCAGCGUUUCAGGUCCCUGCUGAGGUCCACUGGGUGUUGAGGGAGUGUCCUCAGAGAGGGAAAAACAAAAAUGAGGCAGGGAUCAGCUGUUCCAGCCCUGCGUGGGAACUGGGGCUGGCAAACAGAGGCUGCCAGAAGCCAGAUUUGGUAAAAUGGAUACUGAGAAGAGGCCAAAACCAAAGCCUGCACCAUCCAGAAAAGUUCAACAGGUAUCGAUUUCAAAGACACUUUCAUCAGAAGAGAUUUGUCAGCCGUCGGAUGGAAUUUCUGGUCGCGACCAGAAGGAGAUGGCAAGGUUGGAGUAUCAGGUAG
This 730-nucleotide long non-coding RNA is filed under the name Numida meleagris (helmeted guineafowl). Its description in RNAcentral is "lncRNA (ENSNMEG00000000515.1)". Lineage: Eukaryota; Metazoa; Chordata; Aves; Galliformes; Numididae. The record is from RNAcentral.